CUACGUAGGGGGCGAGCGUUGUCCGGAUUUACUGGGCGUAAAGGGUACGCAGGCGGCGAUAUAAGUCAGAUGUGAAAUCCUAGGGCUCAACCCUAGUAAGCAUUUGAAACUGUGUGGCUUGAGUUAAGGAGAGGAAAGUGGAAUUCCUGGUGUAGCGGUGAAAUGCGUAGAUAUCAGGAGGAAUACCAGUGGCGAAGGCGACUUUCUGGACUUAUACUGACGCUGAGGUACGAAAGCGUGGGGAGCAAACAGGAUUAGAUACCCUGGUAGUCCACGCCGUAAACGAUGAGUGCUAGGUGUCGGGUGUCAAAGCUCGGUGCCGCAGUUAACACAUUAAGCACUCCGCCUGGGGAGUACGUUCGCAAGAAUGAA
Molecule: ribosomal RNA, 372 nt
Filed under: uncultured bacterium
Lineage: Bacteria
Description: bacterial SSU rRNA
Rfam family: Bacterial small subunit ribosomal RNA
Source: RNAcentral